UAUUGCGCAAUGGACGAAAGUCUGACGCAGCGACGCCGCGUGUGGGAGGAAGCUCUUCGGGGUGUAAACCACUGUCAGGAGGGAAGAAAGGCGCUGACUCGAAUAGGGUCUAGCGAUUGACGGUACCUCCAAAGGAAGCGCCGGCUAACUCCGUGCCAGCAGCCGCGGUAAUACGGAGGGUGCGAGCGUUGUCCGGAAUCAUUGGGCGUAAAGGGCGCGUAGGUGGCCCGGUCAGUCCGUGGUGAAAGCGCGGGGCUCAACCCUGCGUCGGCCAUGGAUACUGCCGCGGCUCGAGCACUGUAGAGGCAGGCGGAAUUCCGGGUGUAGCGGUGGAAUGCGUAGAGAUCCGGAAGAACACCGGUGGCGAAGGCGGCCUGCUGGGCAGUAUGGCUGACACUGAGGCGCGACAGCGUGGGGAGCAAAC
Molecule: ribosomal RNA, 424 nt
Filed under: uncultured bacterium
Lineage: Bacteria
Description: bacterial SSU rRNA
Rfam family: Bacterial small subunit ribosomal RNA
Source: RNAcentral